CUGAUCCCUUCCCGAACUCAGUAGUGAAACGACGCAUCGCCGAUGGUAGUGUGGGGUCUCCCCAUGUGAGAGUAGGUCAUCGUCAAGC
Molecule: ribosomal RNA, 88 nt
Filed under: Pseudomonas aeruginosa
Lineage: Bacteria; Pseudomonadati; Pseudomonadota; Gammaproteobacteria; Pseudomonadales; Pseudomonadaceae
Also listed under: 2 other names
Source: RNAcentral